AGAGUAUACUGUGUCUAAGCAGCCUGGCAUGAUGAAUGUGUACUACUGAUCCCAUGCAUGUGAAAUUCUAGGACAGACAACUUUGGGAUGUCAGGAAGCAGACCACUAGAUCCUUAACAGGGCACAGGAUGGAACCACUCAGGGUGAUGGAUGUGUAUUUGAUCGAGCAGGAUUUCUGUAGCCUCGCUAGAUUCAUUCCGGGAAAGCUCACACCACUGUUGUAAAUGAUAAUUUAAAAUAUGAUCCUGUCAGAAUAUGGUCCAAGAAGAGAGUCAUAUGAGGAGAAUUCUGAGCUCUUGAGAGAAAAACUCCAGGAAACCAAGAGUCUUGGGACCCCAGCUUCUUCACAAACACGAAAUUGUUCUUGGAUUAUGCUUUCGUGCCCCUGCCAGGUCUUUAGGCUUUAUCCAAUCUUCUUUAUCCUGUUCAACUUAAGGAAGUUUUGGAGUCAGCUCUGUAGCACAUUUUGGAUGGAGAAGAUCUGAGAGGAGUUAUACUCAACACUACUCAGAGAUGCACCAAGAGAGCCUCGCUGGGGCUUAUGCAAACCACAAAGCUAGAAGAUACAUUUCCUUUCAGUCCUGGACCCCAAGUAACAAUAGCAUAAAGCUAAAAAGUGAUUGGCACCAGGAGAAGUUGCCUUGCUUGUUAGUGUGUUCAGUGAUCAGCACUCCACUUUAAAAUAGCAUUUCUGAGUUGAAUGGUAAACACUGGUGCUCGAAGAUGGAAGAUAGUUCAGCACUGAGCAGGUGGAAGUUGUUGGCAGCAACCUGUCAAGGCAUGAGUCUUCAUAUGAACAAAAGCAUGUGCAGCACACACAGGAUAUGGCCAUUUCCUGAACCAUCCCCCAUGUCCUGUGGGAGAACUCUACCCCAAAUGUUUAUAAAUUGCAUACCUUUAAAGAAUACUAUUAAAAGCACAAUAAUAAAUCCA
Long non-coding RNA from Mastomys coucha (southern multimammate mouse), 933 nucleotides. RefSeq lists it as uncharacterized. The record is from RefSeq and is a predicted model, not a curated record. The transcript has 5 exons. NCBI's taxonomy places the organism in Eukaryota, Metazoa, Chordata, Mammalia, Rodentia, Muridae.